GGCCUUAUGGUCCACCGGUUACGACUUCUCUCUUUCACAGAGAUAACAAGGGUUCAAGCCCCUCUAGGGGUA
Molecule: transfer RNA, 72 nt
Filed under: Centaurea solstitialis (yellow star-thistle)
Lineage: Eukaryota; Viridiplantae; Streptophyta; Magnoliopsida; Asterales; Asteraceae
Rfam family: tRNA
About the family: Transfer RNA (tRNA) molecules are approximately 80 nucleotides in length. Their secondary structure includes four short double-helical elements and three loops (D, anti-codon, and T loops).
Source: Rfam by way of RNAcentral